GAGGGUAUAGCUCAGUGGUAGAGCAUGUGCUUAUCUUGCACGAGGUCCAGGGUUCAAUCCCCAGUACUUCCA
Camelus ferus (Wild Bactrian camel) is the source of this 72-nucleotide transfer RNA. It matches the Rfam family "tRNA". From Rfam's summary of the family: Transfer RNA (tRNA) molecules are approximately 80 nucleotides in length. Their secondary structure includes four short double-helical elements and three loops (D, anti-codon, and T loops). NCBI's taxonomy places the organism in Eukaryota, Metazoa, Chordata, Mammalia, Artiodactyla, Camelidae. The record is from Rfam.